RNAcentral lists this ribosomal RNA (305 nucleotides) under uncultured bacterium. Its description in RNAcentral is "bacterial SSU rRNA". It matches the Rfam family "Bacterial small subunit ribosomal RNA", at positions 334 to 656 of the family's 1533-position model. The record is from RNAcentral.
GUGUCCUACGGGGCGCAGCAGUAGGGAAUCUUCCACAAUGGGCGAAAGCCUGAUGGAGCGACGCCGCGUGAGCGAUGAAGUAUUUCGGUAUGUAAAGCUCUAUCAGCAGGGAAGAAAAUGACGGUACUUGACUAAGAAGCCCCGGCUAACUACGUGCCAGCAGCCGCGGUAAUACGUAGGGGGCAAGCGUUAUCCGGAUUUACUGGGUGUAAAGGGAGCGUAGACGGUCCUGCAAGCCAGAUGUGAAAGCCCGGGGCUCAACCCCGGGACUGCAUUUGGAACUGUAAGGCUAGAGUGUCGGAGAG